Molecule: long non-coding RNA, 765 nt
Filed under: Gopherus agassizii (Agassiz's desert tortoise)
Lineage: Eukaryota; Metazoa; Chordata; Testudines; Testudinidae
Description: lncRNA (ENSGAGG00000009589.1)
Source: RNAcentral
AAACAGGUGAAAUCUGGGAGUCUGAAGAACAGAUAAAUCUGGAUUCAUUCAAUACCAAUGUCUUCUUUGAAAUUCUGCUCACACAGUCACUGUCAGUUACAGCCAAACUGAGCCAAUUUAAAAAAGAGCUGAAAAUCUUGUAUCACAAACUUAUGACCGAAAUAGCUUCACUCAGAGAGCUUUGGAUAAUGAGGCUGUGUAUCUCAGAGAAGGCAGAAUCUCAUGACAGCAUAACGAUGGAGAACUAUAUGAAGGCAAAAUAUCAGGCAGAAGAGGAGAUGCUACACAGAAAGCAGCUGGCUGCUGAAUAUGAUGAGAUUGUGAAUAAACAACUUCACUUAUUACACCAUGAUUUGAAAUGCCAAGAAGAGCAUUGUGUCUUGUUCAAGUCUGCCCUGAGAGAGGCAGGGAGAUUGGUGGAAGUACUGACGGAGAAGAUGGCUUGUGGAGGGAACAGAGCCAUGUGGUCUAAACCAGACUACCAAUGACUCGGAUGGCUGUGUGAGGGCACCUAACACCAUCUACAUGGAUCCUAUAACUGGACUCUUAACUCCCAACCCAGACUGUGUCACGCUGUUGGUCAAUCACUGCCCCAUGCCCGUGUCUAGGGAUCAGUUCCUACACCCUGAGACUGGAAAAGUGCUCCCCGUGGCUGGUAAUGUUGGAUAUGAUCCAGUCAGCUCUAAACUGAUCUCUGCUGUUGACUCUGCUUCAGGUACGGGACCACAUGGGGAUAAUUGAUAUAUCCACUUGCCUACAUGGGGA